AACCAUAGAAACCUGCGGAGUACCUGCGGAAGGAUCAUUAAAAAAAGAAUCGAAAGAUUCUAUUUUUUAAGAGCUUUACUACUACUACUUGUAGGAGUAGAGCUUUUUCCACACUCUGUGAUAUUAAAAUCGUCUUUUGACAAUAUCUAUAAAUAAUAAUAAACAAAACUUUUAACAACGGAUCU
Molecule: unclassified non-coding RNA, 185 nt
Filed under: soil metagenome
Description: partial contains 5.8S ribosomal RNA, internal transcribed spacer 2, and large subunit ribosomal RNA
Source: RNAcentral